CUCUGCUUUUGUCUAUGUCCUGUAUGCUUCUGCUUAGAAGCAAUACUGUCAUGAACCCGUGGAGUACCACUGCAGUGAGCAGCAUCAGCAUUAUUACUAUCUGGCUGGAAAGGCUUUGGUUGCUCAUGCACCACAACAGACACAUUGACUUGAAUCUUUGGUGUCCCAAGAGGCACAUUGCUUGCUAUACUGGAGGAUUUAUCAACCGUAUUGUUGCUAUUUUUACCAUGUGCAAUCAUAUUUCGGCUGGAACCCAGAGCUGAGCUUGAUGCUCUAGAUUUGCUAGGAACAACAAUUGGUGACCCAGCAGCAGUGGAUUCCUCAUGCCUAUUCCGGACAACGCUACUAGGAAGGGUUUCCAACUUCUCCCUACUAUGUGGAACUGUAUUUGGGUUGGAACCAAAAGAUGAAUUUGGUGCUC
Molecule: unclassified non-coding RNA, 421 nt
Filed under: Hevea brasiliensis (rubber tree)
Lineage: Eukaryota; Viridiplantae; Streptophyta; Magnoliopsida; Malpighiales; Euphorbiaceae
Source: RNAcentral